AGCGAACGCUGGCGGCAGGCCUAACACAUGCAAGUCGAACGAACUCUUCGGAGUUAGUGGCGGACGGGUGAGUAACACGGGGGAACGUGCCUGUUGGUUCGGAAUAACUCAGGGAAACUUGUGCUAAUACCGAAUGUGCCCUUCGGGGGAAAGAUUUAUCGCCAUUAGAGCGGCCCUCGUCUGAUUAGCUAGUUGGUGAGGUAACGGCUCACCAAGGCGACGAUCAGUAGCUGGUCGGGGAGGAUGACCAGCCACACUGGGACUGAGACACGGCCCAGACUCCUACGGGAGGCAGCAGUGGGGAAUCUUGCGCAAUGGGCGAAAGUCUGACGCAGCCAUGCCGCGUGAAUGAUGAAGGUCUUAGGAUUGUAAAAUUCUUUCACCGGGGACGAUAAUGACGGUACCCGGAGAAGAAGCCCCGGCUAACUUCGUG
RNAcentral lists this ribosomal RNA (433 nucleotides) under uncultured bacterium. RNAcentral describes it as "partial 16S ribosomal RNA". It matches the Rfam family "Bacterial small subunit ribosomal RNA", at positions 29 to 507 of the family's 1533-position model. The record is from RNAcentral.